This 1488-nucleotide long non-coding RNA is filed under the name Oncorhynchus kisutch (coho salmon). RNAcentral's name for it is "lncRNA (ENSOKIG00005000935.1)". Lineage: Eukaryota; Metazoa; Chordata; Actinopteri; Salmoniformes; Salmonidae. The record is from RNAcentral.
AUGUCUUAUUGCUCAUCUGUUCAAGACGUCUCCUGUUUUCAGAGAACAAUUCUGGACAUCAAUACAGAAUACAGCUAUAGAAUUCUAGACAUCAAUACAGAAUACAGCUAUAGAAUUCUAGACAUCAAUACAGAAUACAGCUAUAGAAUUCUAGACAUCAGUGUAGAAUACAGCUAUAGAAUUCUAGACAUCAGUACAGAAUACAGCUAUAGAAUUCUAGACAUCAGUGUAGAAUACAGCUAUAGAAUUCUAGACAUCAGUGUAGAAUACAGCUAUAGAAUUCUAGACAUCAGUACAGAAUACAGCUAUAGAAUUCUAGACAUCGAUACAGAAUACAGCUAUAGAAUUCUAGACAUCAGUACAGAAUACAGCUAUAGAAUUCUAGACAUCAAUACAGAAUACAGCUAUAGAAUUCUAGACAUCAGUGUAGAAUACAGCUAUAGAAUUCUAGACAUCAGUACAGAAUACAGCUAUAGAAUUCUAGACAUCAGUGUAGAAUACAGCUAUAGAAUUCUAGACAUCAGUACAGAAUACAGCUAUAGAAUUCUAGACAUCAGUGUAGAAUACAGCUAUAGAAUUCUAGACAUCAGUACAGAAUACAGCUAUAGAAUUCUAGACAUCAGUACAGAAUACAGCCAUAGAAUUCUAGACAUCAGUGUAGAAUACAGCUAUAGAAUUCUAGACAUCAGUAUAGAAUACAGCUAUAGAAUUCUAGACAUCAAUACAGAAUACCGCUAUAGAAUUCUAGACAUCAAUACAGAAUACAGCUAUAGAAUUCUAGACAUCAGUACAGAAUACAGCUAUAGAAUUCUAGACAUCAGUGUAGAAUACAGCUAUAGAAUUCUAGACAUCAAUACAGAAUACAGCUAUAGAAUUCUAGACAUCAGUACAGAAUACAGCUAUAGAAUUCUAGACAUCAGUGUAGAAUACAGCUAUAGAAUUCUAGACAUCAGUACAGAAUACAGCUAUAGAAUUCUAGACAUCGAUACAGAAUACAGCUAUAGAAUUCUAGACAUCAGUACAGAAUACAGCUAUAGAAUUCUAGACAUCCAUACAGAAUACAGCUAUAGAAUUCUAGACAUCAAUACAGAAUACAGCUAUAGAAUUCUAGACAUCAGUACAGAAUACAGCUAUAGAAUUCUAGACAUCAGUACAGAAUACAGCCAUAGAAUUCUAGACAUCAGUGUAGAAUACAGCUAUAGAAUUCUAGACAUCAGUACAGAAUACAGCUAUAGAAUUCUAGACAUCAAUACAGAAUACAGCUAUAGCUCUGACGGCUCUGCUUAUUUGUUGGGUCAAGUUGCCCCUAAAUACUGGUCUUGGGCAGUUUUGCUAGCCUGGGUCCCACGUCUCUGUGUUAUCUUGCUAACUCCCAGCUGUGUGAGGAAGGAAGCUAUACAGUUAAGCAAGCACAGUGAAACCUAUUACACCUACUCCAUUGCUAACUCUCAUUGUCAAGCCAUUUUGUGUGGGAUGUCAAUUCCAUAA